CAGCAGUGGGAAGUAUUGCACAAUGGGGGAAACCCUGAUGCAGCCAUGCCGCGUGUGUGAAGAAGGCCUUCGGGUUGUAAAGCACUUUCAGUAGGGAGGAAGGUAGUGUAGUUAACACCUGCACUAUUUGACGUUACCUACAGAAGAAGCACCGGCUAACUCCGUGCCAGCAGCCGCGGUAAUACGGAGGGUGCGAGCGUUAAUCGGAAUUACUGGGCGUAAAGCGCAUGCAGGCGGCCUGUUAAGUCAGAUGUGAAAGCCCCGGGGCUUAACCUCGGAAUUGCAUUUGAAACUGGCAGGCUAGAGUCUUGUAGAGGGGGUAGAAUUUCAGGUGUAGCGGUGAAAUGCGUAGAGAUCUGAAGGAAUACCAGUGGCGAAGGCGGCCCCCUGGACAAAGACUGACGCUCAGAUGCGAAAGCGUGGGGAGCAAACAGGAUUAGAUACCCCUGGUAG
This 453-nucleotide ribosomal RNA is filed under the name uncultured bacterium. RNAcentral's name for it is "bacterial SSU rRNA". It matches the Rfam family "Bacterial small subunit ribosomal RNA", at positions 349 to 793 of the family's 1533-position model. The record is from RNAcentral.